This 376-nucleotide ribosomal RNA is filed under the name uncultured bacterium. RNAcentral describes it as "bacterial SSU rRNA". It matches the Rfam family "Bacterial small subunit ribosomal RNA", at positions 524 to 898 of the family's 1533-position model. The record is from RNAcentral.
UACGAGGGAUGCAAGCGUUAUCCGGAAUUAUUGGGCGUAAAGCGUCCGCAGGUGGUUUUACAAGUCUGCUGUCAAAGCGUGGAGCUUAACUCCAUAACGGCGGUGGAAACUGUAAGACUAGAGGUCAGUAGGGGUCACGGGAAUUCCCAGUGUAGCGGUGAAAUGCGUAGAUAUUGGGAAGAACACCAGCGGCGAAAGCGCGUGACUGGGCUGAUUCUGACACUCAUGGACGAAAGCUAGGGGAGCGAAAGGGAUUAGAUACCCCUGUAGUCCUAGCCGUAAACGAUGACAACUAGGUGUUGCGCGUAUCGACCCGCGCGGUGCCGUAGCCAACGCGUUAAGUUGUCCGCCUGGGGAGUACGCACGCAAGUGUGAA